ACCUGAUUUGAAGAUUGGAAGGUGAAGUUGUCUUUGGAAAUGGGAGGAUUAAGCUUAAGUGCUGAAUUUUUGGGUUAUAAUGUAAUUUUUGGUGUGUUGAUGUUCAGAUCUUUGAGGAGGUUUACUGCUGGUCCAGUGGUGAAUACAGCAGAGAUUUCCGGUGUUAUCGUGACCCUCUUGCUGCCGUGGAGUUGCGCGAGAGGUGGGUUGAAUUGUUAAGCUACUGGAAUUAUCAGAUUUUCUUCUAAGUUAUAGUUGUCGGCAUGUAUAUUGGUUAUUGUUAUCCUGUUAGAUAGCUCAAUUAGUGGAUUUGCAUGUUUAUUGGAAUAUGAAAUUGGAGCUUAAAUGUUAGUUAAAUAAACAUGUUGGACUGAGAUUUGACUUAGGAGAAAAUUAACGAUUCUAUACCAUCAUAUGUUUAAAUUACUAGAUUUAGCUCUAGGAGCCAUAGUUUAUUGGUAUCACCGCAGGUUGUGGGCGGUGGAUACCCAGGAUAGUAUAGAAUGUAUUUUCGUUCGUGCUGGGAUGCCGAGCUUAUUUUUAUAGUAGUAUUUAGACUGUUUUGGUCUGUUGGGUGCCGUUGAGGUUGACGGUGGAUCCGGAUUGCUGUUUUUGCAUCAGAUUGUGCUGAGAGCACAUGAGUUUGGUUG
This 650-nucleotide long non-coding RNA is filed under the name Ananas comosus (pineapple). RNAcentral describes it as "long non-coding RNA (ACOM_LNC026316)". Lineage: Eukaryota; Viridiplantae; Streptophyta; Magnoliopsida; Poales; Bromeliaceae. The record is from RNAcentral.